Hibiscus syriacus is the source of this 148-nucleotide small nucleolar RNA. RefSeq annotates it as small nucleolar RNA snoR135. Lineage: Eukaryota; Viridiplantae; Streptophyta; Magnoliopsida; Malvales; Malvaceae. The record is from RefSeq and is a predicted model, not a curated record. The transcript has a single exon.
AGAGCAAGAAAAGUGUGUAUCGAUGUUGUGCAAGUUUCUCAUUGCACUCUGUUCGAAAGAGUUUACUACAAAAUUGAUUCGGGGAAGAUGGGCAGUUGUGCUUCAUAUCCAUCUUUGAUUCUUUUCCACAAUCAUCUUCCCCAUAUAC